GCCUAAUGAUUUAUAAGGCAAAGUUGGUUUGUUCCAAUGAGUUUGAAAAUGUUUUUUAAACUAAACAAUUUGUAGAACUCCAGCUCUAGGUAUCAGAUGACUAUUUUCAAACCCUGUUCAUAGGUAUAAAUGAUGUAUUUAGUCCUUCUUCAGUUCCACUGGAGGAAGAGAAUAAAAAGUUGACAGAAUCAAUCACAGAUAAAUCUUCCAAGCCAUAUGAAGCUCCUGGUCUGUUUGAGGAAGAUGACAACUUUGAAUCCAGUAAAAGUAGUAGCAUUAUACCCAAAUCUUCUGUGGAUUUCUUUGAUGUUGAUGGGGAUCUAUUCAAGGAAAAGCCUGACACUGUCAACAUUGCAAAAAAUAGUCAACAUUCUUCUGCUGAGAAGUUUAAAAAUUUAACUCCAACACAUUUCACGAGUCAGAAAAACCUAUUCUCUGAUGAUGAGGAUUCUGAAGACUUGUUUUCUUCACGUCCACCUAUAGAAGCGAAGAAUU
This 495-nucleotide long non-coding RNA is filed under the name Notechis scutatus (mainland tiger snake). RNAcentral describes it as "lncRNA (ENSNSUG00000009250.1)". The record is from RNAcentral. Lineage: Eukaryota; Metazoa; Chordata; Lepidosauria; Squamata; Elapidae.